AUUGUAUUUUUUUCUGAAAAUUGGCAGUUAUGUACUUUAAAGUGAUUGUGAAAAUCACAACAAAUAUUGGUUAAAUCGAACUUCAAAAUCAUCUGUAUCAUACGAACGUUCGAUGCAACUGUUUACGUGACCCAGUUGUUCCGGCCUCAAUUUGAUUGCAACAUGUGCUUUUUCUGAGAACGUUUCGUCCAACUACAAUGUAUGAAUGAAGAUUGAAUUUGGGCAGAGUUGACAACAUUAUUUAUUGAGAAGAGUUGGUGGAGGUACCACCACCACCUAAUAUAUCUGUCAUCAAAGCCAGAAGAGGAAGAGGCCAUGAUAUCUCCACAGACAAGGAAGCCCAUGAUGAGUCUCCAGCAAGCUGUUGCACAUCUAUCACAUUAGAGAACUCGGUGAUAAAGGGGUACCAUGUGUACAAGAUAAAAAACCCAAUAACUGACCCUGUGACAAAGCUUGUUGUAGAUAGGGUAUAUACUUACAUCAAAGAUAAAGAUGCAUGCCUUGUGUGGAUUCCUGGACUUUCUGAGUUUGAUAUCACUUUACAUGACAUGGUAACCGAUGAUAAAAGACAGCUUAAGUUGUCAGAUAUAGCUGCCCUUCCAACUGGCCAUGUACCAUGCAUUCUUUGUUUUUACAAUGUACUUGAUUCGGGUGGACACGUGUGUGCCAUCAUGACUGGUGAACCGACGCCCAGUUUCCCACAGUGGCCUGCUCCAUCUGAGAGUGGUGGUGGCGUUGUUAUUCCAUGUAAAUAUGUACUUACAGCAGAAGAUGAAGUAACACUAUACAAAUGUUAAGAGAUACACUCAAAAAGAUGCCCGAAUGUUACGUGAUGAAAAUAGUUGUUAAUUGACAUUGAUAUACUUGUUAUUGCCAUGAAAAUAAGGUGGACUAAAACUGAUAGAUAAACUAAUCAGUUAAUUCAUAUGUCUUUAGAAUGUAUUUAGAAUUUAAUUGGCAUUGUUUUGUUUUCAACAAAUCUAGUGAUAAUUCGUUGCUCAUUAUUUCUCACCUGCAAAGAAAGAAUCUCCAAAUUACAAUUUUGAUUGU
This is a long non-coding RNA of Mya arenaria, 1050 nucleotides long. RefSeq lists it as uncharacterized. The transcript has 3 exons. Lineage: Eukaryota; Metazoa; Mollusca; Bivalvia; Myida; Myidae. The record is from RefSeq and is a predicted model, not a curated record.